GAGGACCGUAUUCAUGGAAGAGGAUUGAACAGAGAUGAAGUAGACAGUAUGUUGGAUAAAUCUGGAGUAAAGAACCCAGCAAUUGGUAAAGAUGAGAAUAUAUCGCCUCAAGUAAAAGGAGAUGAAGACAUGGGAGAUGAAAUUGACAGUAUGUUGGCUACAUCUGGAGGUCUUUUCUCCUGAGAACACGGGACUCCAGCAUCUUCGGAUUCUGCUCUUGGAGGUGUGAGUCCCUGCCUCUCUGCACAGGGGAACUUAUGUCUCUCCACAUGUCCGCAAAUGUCUACCCAAGAUUAUACAUCUUCCAAAGGCUUUCAAAUACUUCUUUACAUAAACAAGGGGUUUGCCCCACAUCCUCUAUAUUGCAGAAAACAAGACUAGGCUCUACCUCUGUAGAUCAAGCACGACUGAAAUCCGUGCUCUCAAAAGAUGCUGGGGAGAAAGAGUGCCAUUCUUCACAAAUGCUGGCUGUGUUCACCUGCACACAUCGCUGCAUCAUUGGACUGAAAGUGAAUGGCCCAUGUGUUGCCACUGAUGUGAGCCAUUUGCCUGUUGUGCUUCA
Molecule: non-coding RNA, 562 nt
Filed under: Mus musculus (house mouse)
Lineage: Eukaryota; Metazoa; Chordata; Mammalia; Rodentia; Muridae
Source: RNAcentral